RNAcentral lists this ribosomal RNA (854 nucleotides) under Bartalinia adonidiae. RNAcentral's name for it is "Bartalinia sp. SK-2022a partial large subunit ribosomal RNA". It matches the Rfam family "Eukaryotic large subunit ribosomal RNA", at positions 59 to 942 of the family's 3401-position model. Lineage: Eukaryota; Fungi; Ascomycota; Sordariomycetes; Amphisphaeriales; Sporocadaceae. The record is from RNAcentral.
AAGAACACAGGGAUUGCCUUAGUAACGGCGAGUGAAGCGGCAAUAGCUCAAAUUUGAAAUCUGGCGCUUGCGUCCGAGUUGUAAUUUGUAGAGGAUGAUUUUGGUUAGGUACCUUUCGAGUUCCUUGGAACAGGACGCCUUAGAGGGUGAGAGCCCCGUACGAUUGGAUGCCGAGCCUCUGUAAAUCUCCUUCGACGAGUCGAGUAGUUUGGGAAUGCUGCUCUAAAUGGGAGGUAAAUUUCUUCUAAAGCUAAAUACCGGCCAGAGACCGAUAGCGCACAAGUAGAGUGAUCGAAAGAUGAAAAGCACUUUGAAAAGAGGGUUAAAUAGCACGUGAAAUUGUUGAAAGGGAAGGAUUUAUGACCAGACUUUUUCUAGGAGAAUCAUCCGGUGUUCUCACCGGUGCACUUCUUUUAGUUUAGGCCAGCAUCGACUUUCGGCGGUGGAUAAAAGCUUUAGGAAUGUGGCUUCUCUCGGGAAGUGUUAUAGCCUAUUGUAUAAUACACUGCUGGGGGUCGAGGUACGCGCUUCUGCAAGGAUGCUGGCGUAAUGGUUAUCAAUCACCCGUCUUGAAACACGGACCAAGGAGUCGAACAUUUGUGCGAGUGUUUGGGUGUUAAACCCUCACGCGUAAUGAAAGUGAACGGAGGUGAGAGCCCUUACGGGUGCAUCAUCGACCGAUCCUGAUGUUUUCGGAUGGAUUUGAGUAAGAGCAUAAAUGUUCGGACCCGAAAGAUGGUGAACUAUGCGUGGAUAGGGUGAAGCCAGAGGAAACUCUGGUGGAGGCUCGCAGCGGUUCUGACGUGCAAAUCGAUCGUCAAAUCUGCGCAUGGGGGCGAAAGACUAAUCGACCA